UACGUAGGGUGCAAGCGUUAUCCGGAAUUAUUGGGCGUAAAGCGUUCGUAGGUGGUCUAACAAGUUUGCAGUUAAAUCUGGUCGCUCAACGAUCAACUCGCUGCAAAAACUAUUAGACUUGAGAUUGGCAGAGGCAGCUGGAAUUCCACAUGUAGGGGUAAAAUCCGUUGAUAUGUGGAGGAACACCAAAAGCGAAGGCAGGUUGCUGGGCCACAUCUGACACUCAAGAACGAAAGCGUGGGGAGCAAACAGG
RNAcentral lists this ribosomal RNA (253 nucleotides) under uncultured bacterium. RNAcentral's name for it is "partial 16S ribosomal RNA". It matches the Rfam family "Bacterial small subunit ribosomal RNA", at positions 524 to 776 of the family's 1533-position model. The record is from RNAcentral.